GAUGAACGCUGGCGGCGUGCCUAAUACAUGCAAGUCGAGCGAACGGACGAGAAGCUUGCUUCUCUGAUGUUAGCGGCGGACGGGUGAGUAAAACGUGGAUAACCUACCUAUAAGACUGGGAUAAAUUCGGGAAACCGUAGCUAAUACCGGAUAAUAUUUUGAACCGCAUGGUUCAAAAGUGAAAGACGGUCUUGCUGUCACUUAUAGAUGGAUCCGCGCUGCAUUAGCUAGUUGGUAAGGUAACGGCUUACCAAGGCAACGAUGCAUAGCCGACCUGAGAGGGUGAUCGGCCACACUGGAACUGAGACACGGUCCAGACUCCUACGGGAGGCAGCAGUAGGGAAUCUUCCGCAAUGGGCGAAAGCCUGACGGAGCAACGCCGCGUGAGUGAUGAAGGUCUUCGGAUCGUAAAACUCUGUUACUAGGGAAGAACAUAUGUGUAAGUAACUGUGCACAUCUUGACGGUACCUAAUCAGAAAGCCACGGCUAACUACGUG
This 497-nucleotide ribosomal RNA is filed under the name uncultured bacterium. RNAcentral's name for it is "partial 16S ribosomal RNA". It matches the Rfam family "Bacterial small subunit ribosomal RNA", at positions 28 to 507 of the family's 1533-position model. The record is from RNAcentral.